GAUGAACGCUAGCGGGAGGCCUAACACAUGCAAGCCGAGCGGUAGAGAUUCUUCGGAAUCUUGAGAGCGGCGUACGGGUGCGGAACACGUGUGCAACCUGCCUUUAUCAGGGGGAUAGCCUUUCGAAAGGAAGAUUAAUACCCCAUAAUAUAUUUGAUGGCAUCAUUAGAUAUUGAAAGCUUUGGCGGAUAGAGAUGGGCACGCGCAAGAUUAGAUAGUUGGUGAGGUAACGGCUCACCAAGUCGAUGAUCUUUAGGGGGCCUGAGAGGGUGGUCCCCCACACUGGUACUGAGACACGGACCAGACUCCUACGGGAGGCAGCAGUGAGGAAUAUUGGACAAUGGGUUAGCGCCUGAUCCAGCCAUCCCGCGUGAAGGACGACGGCCCUAUGGGUUGUAAACUUCUUUUGUACAGGGAUAAACCUACUCUCGUGAGAGUAGCUGAAGGUACUGUACGAAUAAGCACCGGCUAACUCCGUG
Molecule: ribosomal RNA, 479 nt
Filed under: uncultured bacterium
Lineage: Bacteria
Description: partial 16S ribosomal RNA
Rfam family: Bacterial small subunit ribosomal RNA
Source: RNAcentral